Molecule: ribosomal RNA, 1052 nt
Filed under: Staphylococcus aureus
Lineage: Bacteria; Bacillati; Bacillota; Bacilli; Caryophanales; Staphylococcaceae
Description: partial 23S ribosomal RNA
Rfam family: Bacterial large subunit ribosomal RNA
Source: RNAcentral
GUGGAUCCUGAGUACGACGGAGCACGUGAAAUUCCGUCGGAAUCUGGGAGGACCAUCUCCUAAGGCUAAAUACUCUCUAGUGACCGAUAGUGAACCAGUACCGUGAGGGAAAGGUGAAAAGCACCCCGGAAGGGGAGUGAAAUAGAACCUGAAACCGUGUGCUUACAAGUAGUCAGAGCCCGUUAAUGGGUGAUGGCGUGCCUUUUGUAGAAUGAACCGGCGAGUUACGAUUUGAUGCAAGGUUAAGCAGUAAAUGUGGAGCCGUAGCGAAAGCGAGUCUGAAUAGGGCGUUUAGUAUUUGGUCGUAGACCCGAAACCAGGUGAUCUACCCUUGGUCAGGUUGAAGUUCAGGUAACACUGAAUGGAGGACCGAACCGACUUACGUUGAAAAGUGAGCGGAUGAACUGAGGGUAGCGGAGAAAUUCCAAUCGAACCUGGAGAUAGCUGGUUCUCUCCGAAAUAGCUUUAGGGCUAGCCUCAAGUGAUGAUUAUUGGAGGUAGAGCACUGUUUGGACGAGGGGCCCCUCUCGGGUUACCGAAUUCAGACAAACUCCGAAUGCCAAUUAAUUUAACUUGGGAGUCAGAACAUGGGUGAUAAGGUCCGUGUUCGAAAGGGAAACAGCCCAGACCACCAGCUAAGGUCCCAAAAUAUAUGUUAAGUGGAAAAGGAUGUGGCGUUGCCCAGACAACUAGGAUGUUGGCUUAGAAGCAGCCAUCAUUUAAAGAGUGCGUAAUAGCUCACUAGUCGAGUGACACUGCGCCGAAAAUGUACCGGGGCUAAACAUAUUACCGAAGCUGUGGAUUGUCCUUUGGACAAUGGUAGGAGAGCGUUCUAAGGGCGUUGAAGCAUGAUCGUAAGGACAUGUGGAGCGCUUAGAAGUGAGAAUGCCGGUGUGAGUAGCGAAAGACGGGUGAGAAUCCCGUCCACCGAUUGACUAAGGUUUCCAGAGGAAGGCUCGUCCGCUCUGGGUUAGUCGGGUCCUAAGCUGAGGCCGACAGGCGUAGGCGAUGGAUAACAGGUUGAUAUUCCUGUACCACCUAUAAUCGUUUUA